GACGAACGCUGGCGGCGUGCUUAACACAUGCAAGUCGAACGAUGACGACCGAGCUUGCUCGGUCUGAUUAGUGGCGAACGGGUGAGUAACACGUGAGCAACCUGCCCUUCACUCUGGGAUAACCUCGGGAAAUCGGGGCUAAUACCGGAUAUGAGCUCCUGUCGCAUGGCGGGUGUUGGAAAGUUUUUCGGUGAAGGAUGGGCUCGCGGCCUAUCAGUUUGUUGGUUGGGUAGUGGCUCACCAAGGCGAUGACGGGUAGCCGGCCUGAGAGGGCGACCGGCCACACUGGGACUGAGACACGGCCCAGACUCCUACGGGAGGCAGCAGUGGGGAAUAUUGCACAAUGGGCGAAAGCCUGAUGCAGCGACGCCGCGUGAGGGAUGACGGCCUUCGGGUUGUAAACCUCUUUCAGCAGGGAAGAAGCGAAAGUGACGGUACCUGCAGAAGAAGCGCCGGCUAACUACGUG
This 467-nucleotide ribosomal RNA is filed under the name uncultured bacterium. RNAcentral describes it as "partial 16S ribosomal RNA". It matches the Rfam family "Bacterial small subunit ribosomal RNA", at positions 28 to 507 of the family's 1533-position model. The record is from RNAcentral.